This 383-nucleotide ribosomal RNA is filed under the name uncultured bacterium. RNAcentral's name for it is "bacterial SSU rRNA". It matches the Rfam family "Bacterial small subunit ribosomal RNA", at positions 30 to 416 of the family's 1533-position model. The record is from RNAcentral.
AUUGAACGCUGGCGGCAUGCCUUACACAUGCAAGUCGAACGGCAGCGCGGGGCAACCUGGCGGCGAGUGGCGAACGGGUGAGUAAUAUAUCGGAACAUGCCCAGAAGUGGGGAUAACGUAGCGAAAGUUACGCUAAUACCGCAUACGAUCUACGGAUGAAAGUGGGGGACCGCAAGGCCUCAUGCUUUUGGAGUGGCCGAUAUCUGAUUAGCUAGUUGGUGGGUAAAGGCCUACCAAGGCGACGAUCAGUAGCUGGUCUGAGAGGACGACCAGCCACACUGGAACUGAGACACGGUCCAGACUCCUACGGGAGGCAGCAGUGGGGAAUUUUGGACAAUGGGGGGCAACCCUGAUCCAGCAAUGCCGCGUGUGUGAAGAAGGCC